CCGAAUUGUCAACACGAGUUGUUGCUGGUCCUCAGACGAGGGCAUGUGCACGCUCUGUUUACACAUCCACUCACACCUGUGCACCCUCUGUAGUUCUAUGGUCUGAGGGGCUCUGUCCUCUCGCCGUGGCUCUAUGUCUUUACACACGCACUGUAAUAAAGUUUCAUGGAAUGCAUGACGCGUUUAACGCAAUACAAUA
This 199-nucleotide unclassified non-coding RNA is filed under the name uncultured Tomentella. RNAcentral describes it as "sequence contains ITS1". The record is from RNAcentral. Lineage: Eukaryota; Fungi; Basidiomycota; Agaricomycetes; Thelephorales; Thelephoraceae.